CAGUAGCCACGGUAAUACGUAGGGUGCGAGCGUUGUCCGGAAUUAUUGGGCGUAAAGAGCUUGUAGGCGGUUUGUCGCGUCUGCUGUGAAAAUUCAGGGCUUAACCCUGGACGUGCAGUGGGUACGGGCAGACUAGAGUGUGGUAGGGGAGACUGGAAUUCCUGGUGUAGCGGUGGAAUGCGCAGAUAUCAGGAGGAACACCGAUGGCGAAGGCAGGUCUCUGGGCCAUUACUGACGCUGAGAAGCGAAAGCAUGGGGAGCGAACAGGAUUAGAUACCCCCGUAGUCCCUGUCUCUUAUAC
This 301-nucleotide ribosomal RNA is filed under the name uncultured bacterium. Its description in RNAcentral is "partial 16S ribosomal RNA". It matches the Rfam family "Bacterial small subunit ribosomal RNA", at positions 509 to 807 of the family's 1533-position model. The record is from RNAcentral.